UGGUGGUAAAGGUGCAUCGU
This 20-nucleotide non-coding RNA is filed under the name Arabidopsis thaliana (thale cress). The record is from RNAcentral. Lineage: Eukaryota; Viridiplantae; Streptophyta; Magnoliopsida; Brassicales; Brassicaceae.